Molecule: long non-coding RNA, 354 nt
Filed under: Elaeis guineensis (African oil palm)
Lineage: Eukaryota; Viridiplantae; Streptophyta; Magnoliopsida; Arecales; Arecaceae
Description: long non-coding RNA (EGUI_LNC031320)
Source: RNAcentral
CGACGCAUAUUUUUGAGCUCAUGCGAGGAGUCAGCAUAGUCCCUUGGAAAGAUUUUGUUGAGGAAGAAAAUGAGGCUCUCAUUCUAAAAUUCUCACUUGAGUAUCAACAUAGCAACCAACUCAUCGAAGUCGUAUAUUUUGAGUGUAGCCACAUUAAAAUGAACUAUAUAGUCACACAGAGAUUCUCUCUCUUCUUGUUGGAUCGAGAAGAAGCUGUCAGGUGUUCUUUGGUUGUGCUCAGUUAUUGCUAAAGUGCACAAUAAACUACUUUUCAAGCUGCUCAAAUAAGUAGAUAGACUCUGAUUAGAGUCUAGAGUACCAUAUUCGUAUCAACUUUUUAAGAGUUGCCAGAAA